UAGGGAGUCUUCCACAAUGGGCGAAAGCCUGAUGGAGCAACGCCGCGUGUGUGAUGAAGGGUUUCGGCUCGUAAACACUGUUGUAAGAGAAGAAUGACAUUGAGAGUAACUGUUCAAUGUGUGACGGUAUCUUACCAGAAAGGAACGGCUAAAUACGUGCCAG
This 163-nucleotide ribosomal RNA is filed under the name uncultured bacterium. Its description in RNAcentral is "partial 16S rRNA". It matches the Rfam family "Bacterial small subunit ribosomal RNA", at positions 355 to 511 of the family's 1533-position model. The record is from RNAcentral.